This 130-nucleotide ribosomal RNA is filed under the name Castor canadensis (American beaver). The record is from RNAcentral. Lineage: Eukaryota; Metazoa; Chordata; Mammalia; Rodentia; Castoridae.
GUCAACGGCCAUACCACCCUGAACACGCCCAAUCUCUUGAUCUUGGACGCUAAGCAGGGUCAGGUCUGGUUAGUACUUGGAUGGGAGACGGAAGCUCCCUCUCGUCUUAGUGGUCUAGACAAUGUGCACU